Molecule: small RNA, 143 nt
Filed under: Arabidopsis thaliana (thale cress)
Lineage: Eukaryota; Viridiplantae; Streptophyta; Magnoliopsida; Brassicales; Brassicaceae
Description: ATSL053260
Source: RNAcentral
AUAUAGGGUUACAUGAGAUAAGCAUAAAUCUGUUCCUAAGAUAUUAGAUAUAUACAAAUAUAAGAUUCUCAUAUAUAUAAUCUAACAGAAAGACAGAGAUCAUAAGAAGAAGAAAAAAGAAUGAUUCAGUUUGAUAUUUUUAU